CUUUGGGUUUAUCUUUGAUUACCUACUUUAUAAUCUGACUUAUCAACCUGCAAUAUGUUUCCCGUAUUACUCAGUGCAUGUGUGUGUGUGUGUGUGUGUGUGGCACUCAGACGGUAAGUAUUCGAUAAGGGGAAGAGUGGGCGCUGGCCUUCUAGGAAUAAAUAUAAAUGAUUGAGAUUCAGUGACUGUAGUUUUACAAUGAUAAAUGUCCUUCUUCAUCAGAGCUUUUAGUGGUUUAAAUAGCAUGCUACCACACUACACUUCUUUCUGCAGUAUGUGCCAGUAGGCCUAUGCUGUGCAUGUUUUGAUUAUUAUUUUUUUUUUUUUUAUGCACAGAAUAGACCUUUGUCAGGGUAGCUGAAAACGAGACAGUGGGGGAUAGAAGCACAUUGUUUAUAAACAUUUACAAAGCCAAAAUACUAAACAAAAACUCCAUAAAAAGUUUUGAAAGUUGUGAGCUGUGAAAAUUACAUGUGAUCUAGGACCUUUAUACAGUGCAUGCCAUUGUAAAGACUGUUAGUCUCCAUCACAACCUUGUCUCAAAAAAAAAAAAAAAAAAAACUAUUUUUUUAUUAUAGGAAUAAUAAUAAUAAUAAAAAUAGGAAAAAUGUAACAAUAACAAUAAAAAAUGAAUCUUCAUUUACCUCUAUUGCUCCUAAUGAGAUGAAGGAUGGUGUCCUGGGGUAUUCCCUCCCAGAUCUGGACCAGGGCAUCACUGAGCUCCUGGACAGUCUGAGGUGCAACCUGGCGACGUCAGAUGGACCAAAACAUAAUGUCCCAGAGGUGUUCUAUUGGAUUUAGGUCAGGUGAGCGUGGGGGACAUUCAAUGGUAUCAAUUCCUUUAUCCUCCUGGAACUGACUGCAUAUUCUCACCACAUGAGGCCGGGCAUUGUCGUGCACAAGGAGGAACAAGGACCCAAUGCACUAGCGUAGGGUCUGACAAUGGGUCGAAGGAUUCCAUCCCGAUACCUAAUGGCAGUAGGGGUGCCAUUGUCUAGCCUGUAGAGGUCUCUGUGUCCCUCCAUGGAUAUGCCUCCCCAGACCAUCACUGACCCACCACCAAAUGGGUCAUGCUGAACAAUGUUACAGGCAGCAUAACAUUCUCCACCGCUUCUCCAGACCCUUUCAUAUCUGUUGCAUGUGCUCAGGGUGAACCUCCUCUCAUCUGUGAAAAGCACAGAGUGCCAGAGGCGGACCUGCCAAUUCUGGUGUUCAAUGGCAAAUUCCAAU
Long non-coding RNA from Cyprinus carpio carpio, 1230 nucleotides. The record is from Ensembl. NCBI's taxonomy places the organism in Eukaryota, Metazoa, Chordata, Actinopteri, Cypriniformes, Cyprinidae.